Molecule: ribosomal RNA, 254 nt
Filed under: uncultured bacterium
Lineage: Bacteria
Description: partial 16S ribosomal RNA
Rfam family: Bacterial small subunit ribosomal RNA
Source: RNAcentral
UACGUAGGGGGCAAGCGUUGUCCGGAAUCAUUGGGCGUAAAGAGCGUGUAGGCGGCCCGGUAAGUCCGCUGUGAAAGUCCAGGGCUCAACCCUGGGAUGCCGGUGGAUACUGUCGGGCUCGAGUCCGGAAGAGGAGUGUGGAAUUCCUGGUGUAGCGGUGAAAUGCGGCAGAUAUCAGGAGGAACACCAAUGGCGAAGGCAGCACUCUGGGACGUGACUGACGCUGAGACGCGAAAGCGUGGGGAGCAAACAGG